RNAcentral lists this ribosomal RNA (315 nucleotides) under uncultured eukaryote. RNAcentral describes it as "partial 18S ribosomal RNA". It matches the Rfam family "Eukaryotic small subunit ribosomal RNA", at positions 1470 to 1796 of the family's 1831-position model. The record is from RNAcentral.
CCCUUAGAUAUCCUGGGCCGCACGCGUGCUACACUGACGCUGACAGCGAGUAUUUCCAGCUCCGAGAGGCAGCUGGUAAUCAGCAAUCGGCGUCGUGAUGGGGAUAGACCCUUGGAAUUGUGGGUCUUGAACGAGGAAUGCCUAGUAAGCGCAGGUCAUCAGCCUGCGUUGAUUAAGUCCCUGCCCUUUGUACACACCGCCCGUCGCUCCUACCGAUUUCGAGUGGUCCGGUGAACCUUUGGGACCGCGUAUGGCUUGUCCAGGCGUGGAAACUCAAGUAAACCACAUCACUUAGAGGAAGGAGAANUCGUAACA